UAUAUACUCCCUCCGUCCGAAAAUAAUUGUCAUCAAAAAGAAUAAAAAGGCAUGUAUCUAGAUGUAUUUUAGUUCUAGAUACAUCUCUUUUCAUCCAUUUUGAUGACAAAUAUUUUCGGACGGAUGGAGUAUCAA
Non-coding RNA from Triticum aestivum (bread wheat), 135 nucleotides. Lineage: Eukaryota; Viridiplantae; Streptophyta; Magnoliopsida; Poales; Poaceae. The record is from Rfam.